ACUGUCUCAAAAAAAAAAAAAAAAAAGAUAAUAAAUGAGAAAAAUUCCAGAAGCAAGCAAGCAGGGUGAGGGCUAGAGUGAGGGGGUGCUCUGUUAGUUGGGGUUGUCAGAGGAGGCCUCCCCAAGGGGUGGGCAGUGGAGCAGGAGCAGGCCACUCCUUCCUGAAAAUCAGAGGAUUUUAAACCAUGCAUGUCAGAGCUGGGGCUCAGAGGCCUUGAGGUCCCCUGCCUCUGCAGAGGUAGGCUGGACAGUAUCUGAGGACAGCCUGGAGCUGGGGGUUGGGGCUCAGCACUGUCCAAAGCCCUUCCCCUGAGCAGGGGCUCAGGUGCCCGCUGCUGGCAGAGCAAUGGGGAAAGGGUGCUGGCUGGGUGUGGAGAGAGGCUUGUUUCUUGGGCCUCCACUGCAGCCGUGCUCUGGGCUCACAGACUCCAUUUGGGCGUGGGGAACAACAGCCUCCCCCACCCCCAGUUCAGUGUCCUCGGUGCCAAGUGACAGAGAACAGGCAGCUCUUGAAAAGACUAAUAUUUACUCUUCAAACGGGAGCUGGCACAGGCUGUUUCCUGCAACUGGCGUCUGGCUUGCCCUGUGGGAUGGAUGCAACAGGAGGUAUGCGGGAGAUAGGCAGAUGUCCCCUCCUGAGACAAUGUCUGCGGGAUGGGGACAGCAUGUUCCAAGAUCCCAUCCGACACAUCCCGUCUCUGCCUGCACACCUCCCGGGUGGACCAGUCCCUGCCUGUGCAGCCCCCGCUGGACGGCUCCGUGAGAAAGCUCUGAGUGGUGAAGAUCCAUCCACGUUGUGAUGUUACAUCUAAAGCUGAUACUUCCACCUGCUCCGUGGUGCUCCGUGGUGAGCCUGCGCACUUCCCCUGCCCGCCAUGGAUGCACAGGUUGCCUUCCGCCAACACAGACGAUGCUUCAAUGAACAGUCAUCUUCAUACAUGUUCCCUUAAGGAUCUGUGUAAGAAUCCUCCUGGGACAUAUAACCAGUGGUAAAAUUUCCACAUCACGAGGUUCCCUGCUGACGAGGUUUCCCCGGCAACAGAAGUUUGACAUCACGCUCCCAGAACGGGAGAAUGAGAGUGCUCUUUGUUUGGGUCGAGGACGGACCUUGAGGUUUGGCCCAACCACCAGAACCGGCCUCCUUGGAUCCUGGAGUAGACGGAACACCAAUGGGACCGCAGGCGCUGUGCCCAGGAAGUGGGAGGCAGGUC
This is a non-coding RNA of Microcebus murinus (gray mouse lemur), 1211 nucleotides long. NCBI's taxonomy places the organism in Eukaryota, Metazoa, Chordata, Mammalia, Primates, Cheirogaleidae. The record is from RefSeq and is a predicted model, not a curated record.